CGACUCUCGGCAACGGAUAUCUCGGCUCUCGCAUCGAUGAAGAACGUAGCGAAAUGCGAUACUUGGUGUGAAUUGCAGAAUCCCGUGAACCAUCGAGUCUUUGAACGCAAGUCGCGCCCCAAGCCAUUAGGCCGAGGGCACGCCUGCCUGGGUGUCACG
Molecule: ribosomal RNA, 159 nt
Filed under: Tilia platyphyllos
Lineage: Eukaryota; Viridiplantae; Streptophyta; Magnoliopsida; Malvales; Malvaceae
Description: 5.8S ribosomal RNA
Rfam family: 5.8S ribosomal RNA
About the family: 5.8S ribosomal RNA (5.8S rRNA) is a component of the large subunit of the eukaryotic ribosome. It is transcribed by RNA polymerase I as part of the 45S precursor that also contains 18S and 28S rRNA. Functionally, it is thought that 5.8S rRNA may be involved in ribosome translocation.
Source: RNAcentral